RNAcentral lists this ribosomal RNA (495 nucleotides) under uncultured bacterium. RNAcentral describes it as "partial 16S ribosomal RNA". It matches the Rfam family "Bacterial small subunit ribosomal RNA", at positions 28 to 507 of the family's 1533-position model. The record is from RNAcentral.
GACGAGCGCUGGCGGCGUGCCUAAUACAUGCAAGUAGAACGCUGAAGGAGGAGCUUGCUCUUCUGGAUGAGUUGCGAACGGGUGAGUAACGCGUAGGUAACCUGCCUGGUAGCGGGGGAUAACUAUUGGAAACGAUAGCUAAUACCGCAUAAAAUUGAUUAUUGCAUGAUAGUCAAUUAAAAGGUGCAAUUGCAUCACUACCAGAUGGACCUGCGUUGUAUUAGCUAGUUGGUGAGGUAACGGCUCACCAAGGCAACGAUACAUAGCCGACCUGAGAGGGUGAUCGGCCACACUGGGACUGAGACACGGCCCAGACUCCUACGGGAGGCAGCAGUAGGGAAUCUUCGGCAAUGGACGGAAGUCUGACCGAGCAACGCCGCGUGAGUGAAGAAGGUUUUCGGAUCGUAAAGCUCUGUUGUAAGAGAAGAACGAGUGUGAGAGUGGAAAGUUCACACUGUGACGGUAUCUUACCAGAAAGGGACGGCUAACUACGUG